CAGCAGCCACGGUAAUACGUAGGUGGCAAGCGUUGUCCGGAAUUAUUGGGCGUAAAGGGCUCGCAGGCGGUUUCUUAAGUCUGAUGUGAAAGCCCCCGGCUCAACCGGGGAGGGUCAUUGGAAACUGGGAAACUUGAGUGCAGAAGAGGAGAGUGGAAUUCCACGUGUAGCGGUGAAAUGCGUAGAGAUGUGGAGGAACACCAGUGGCGAAGGCGACUCUCUGGUCUGUAACUGACGCUGAGGAGCGAAAGCGUGGGGAGCGAACAGGAUUAGAGACCCCAGUAGUCCCUGUCUCUUAUAC
RNAcentral lists this ribosomal RNA (301 nucleotides) under uncultured bacterium. RNAcentral describes it as "partial 16S ribosomal RNA". It matches the Rfam family "Bacterial small subunit ribosomal RNA", at positions 509 to 807 of the family's 1533-position model. The record is from RNAcentral.